GACGAACGCUGGCGGCGUGCUUAAUACAUGCAAGUCGAGCGAACAGACGCUGAGCUUGUGGCUCGGUCGUUAGCCGCGCACGGGUGUGAAACAUGUGGAUCACCUACUUGUCAGACUGGGAUAACCACGGGAAACGGGAGAUAAUCCGAGAUAAUCUAUUGCUGCGCAUUGGUCAAUAGUGAAAUACGGCUUUGCGGGCUCUAAUAGAUGCAUCCGCGCUGCAUUAGCUAGUUGGUACGGUAACGGCUUAUCAAGGCAACGAUGCGUAGCCGACCUGAGAGGGUGAUCGGCCACACUGGAACUGAGACACGGUCCAGACUCCUACGGGAGGCAGCAGUAGGGAAUCUUCCGCAAUGGGCGAAAGCCUGACGGAGCAACGCCGCGUGAGUGAUGAAGGUCUUCGGAUCGUAAAACUCUGUUAUUAGGGAAGAACAAAUGUGUAAGUAACUAUGCACGUCUUGACGGUACCUAAUCAGAAAGCCACGGCUAACUACGUG
This 497-nucleotide ribosomal RNA is filed under the name uncultured bacterium. RNAcentral's name for it is "partial 16S ribosomal RNA". It matches the Rfam family "Bacterial small subunit ribosomal RNA", at positions 28 to 507 of the family's 1533-position model. The record is from RNAcentral.